Molecule: long non-coding RNA, 561 nt
Organism: Strigops habroptila (Kakapo)
Lineage: Eukaryota; Metazoa; Chordata; Aves; Psittaciformes; Psittacidae
Exons: 2
Source: RefSeq, a predicted model, not a curated record
UGAUACUGUCUUGAACACUAACUGCGUGCUACAGAUUGCGUGAUCAGGAGGAAGUAAAAGAUGAGGCUUUCAUCUUGGUUUUGGGCAGCCUGCCAUAGCUGUCCCUUUUUGAUUAGAGAAGUGGAACUAGAUGAUCUCAGGAGGUCCUUCCAACCUAAACAGAUCUGUGAUUUGCAGUCUCUGGUCUUCAUGGGUUACUCCAACCUGCCAAAGAUCUGCUGGAAGGACAACAAGCAAGGCACAAGGAAUCUAGAUUUCUGGACUGUAUGGAUGAUAACUUCCUGAUACAGAUGACUGAGAAGCCAAGAAGUGGAAGUACUCUUCUGGACCUGAUAAUUGCAAACAAGGAAGAACUUACUGGAAGUGUGAAUGUCAGGAAUGUCAUUUGACUCUGGAGUUCAGGAUCCUGAGGGAAAUAAGGCAAAUAGCAGGAUGACAGCCCUGGGCAUCAGGAGACCAGACUUCAGGGUUGAGGGAUCUGCUGGUGUGGGUUGAUGCUGGCUGGACACCAGGUGGUCACCCAAGCUGCUCUGUCACUCCCCUCCUCAGCUGGCCUGGGGA